CAAGAGAUAGUUUAAUAAGAAUAAAAGCUUUGGGAGCUUUUGGUGUAAGUAAUUUAUUCUCUUGA
RNAcentral lists this transfer RNA (65 nucleotides) under Triops sp. EPP1. Its description in RNAcentral is "tRNA-Pro". It matches the Rfam family "tRNA". From Rfam's summary of the family: Transfer RNA (tRNA) molecules are approximately 80 nucleotides in length. Lineage: Eukaryota; Metazoa; Arthropoda; Branchiopoda; Notostraca; Triopsidae. The record is from RNAcentral.